CAGGAUGAACGCUGGCGGUAUGCUUAACACAUGCAAGUCGAACGGUCUUUUAGGAGACAGUGGCGGACGGGUGAGUAACGCGUAAGAAUCUACCUUCAGGUUGGGGACAACCACUGGAAACGGUGGCUAAUACCGAAUGUGCCGAGAGGUGAAAGGCUUGCUGCCUGAAGAAGAGCUUGCGUCUGAUUAGCUAGUUGGUAGUGUAAGAGACUACCAAGGCGACGAUCAGUAGCUGGUCUGAGAGGAUGAUCAGCCACACUGGGACUGAGACACGGCCCAGACUCCUACGGGAGGCAGCAGUGGGGAAUUUUCCGCAAUGGGCGAAAGCCUGACGGAGCAAUACCGCGUGAGGGAGGAAGGCUCUUGGGUUGUAAACCUCUUUUCUCAGGGAAGAACAGAAUGACGGUACCUGAGGAAUAAGCAUCGGCUAACUCCGUGCCAGCAGCCGCGGUAAUACGGAGGAUGCAAGCGUUAUCCGGAAUGAUUGGGCGUAAAGGGUCCGCAGGUGGCAUUGUAAGUCUGCUGUUAAAGAGUUUGGCUCAACCAAAUAAGAGCAGUGGAAACUACAAAGCUAGAGUGUGGUCGGGGCAGAGGGAAUUCCUGGUGUAGCGGUGAAAUGCGUAGAUAUCAGGAAGAACACCAGUGGCGAAGGCGCUCUGCUAGGCCGAGACUGACACUGAGGGACGAAAGCUAGGGGAGCGAAUGGGAUUAGAUACCCCAGUAGUCCUAGCCGUAAACGAUGGAUACUAGGCGUAGCUCGUAUCGACCCGAGCUGUGCCGGAGCUAACGCGUUAAGUAUCCCGCCUGGGGAGUACGCAGGCAACUGUGAAACUCAAAGGAAUUGACGGGGGCCCGCACAAGCGGUGGAGUAUGUGGUUUAAUUCGAUGCAACGCGAAGAACCUUACCAAGGCUUGACAUGUCACGAAUCCUAUUGAAAGAUGGGAGUGCCUUCGGGAGCGUGAACACAGGUGGUGCAUGGCUGUCGUCAGCUCGUGUCGUGAGAUGUUGGGUUAAGUCCCGCAACGAGCGCAACCCUCGUUUUUAGUUGCCAGCAUUAAGAUGGGCACUCUAGAGAGACUGCCGGUGACAAACCGGAGGAAGGUGGGGAUGACGUCAAGUCAGCAUGCCCCUUACGUCUUGGGCUACACACGUACUACAAUGCUCCGGACAAAGGGCAGCUACACAGCGAUGUGAUGCGAAUCUCAUAAACCGGAGCUCAGUUCAGAUCGAAGGCUGCAACUCGCCUUCGUGAAGGAGGAAUCGCUAGUAAUUGCAGGUCAGCAUACUGCAGUGAAUUCGUUCCCGGGCCUUGUACACACCGCCCGUCACACCAUGGAAGUUGGUCACGCCCGAAGUCGUUACCCCAACCUAUUGGAGGGGGAUGCCUAAGGUAGGACUGAUGACUGGGGUGAAGUCGUAACAAGGUAGCCGUACCGGAAGGUGUGGCUGGAUCACCUCCUUU
This 1463-nucleotide ribosomal RNA is filed under the name Aphanizomenon klebahnii. RNAcentral's name for it is "bacterial SSU rRNA". It matches the Rfam family "Bacterial small subunit ribosomal RNA". The record is from RNAcentral. RNAcentral also lists the same sequence under 2 other names. Lineage: Bacteria; Bacillati; Cyanobacteriota; Cyanophyceae; Nostocales; Aphanizomenonaceae.